This 495-nucleotide ribosomal RNA is filed under the name uncultured bacterium. RNAcentral's name for it is "bacterial SSU rRNA". It matches the Rfam family "Bacterial small subunit ribosomal RNA", at positions 28 to 530 of the family's 1533-position model. The record is from RNAcentral.
GACGAACGCUUGCGGCGUGCCUAAGAAAUGCAAGUCGAGCGAGGUUUAGGCUUCGGCCGACGACCUAGCGGCGAACGGUCGCGUAACACGUAAGCAACCUGCCCUAAAGUUGGGGAUAGCCCGCCGAAAGGCGGAUUAAUACCGAAUGUGGAUAUGUAUUCGCAUGUAUAUAUAUCUGAAGCAGCGAUGCGCUUUAGGAUGGGCUUGCGGCCUAUCAGUUAGUUGGUGUGGGUAACGGCCUACCAAGACGACGACGGGUAGCUGGUCUGAGAGGAUGGUCAGCCGGAUUGGGACUGAGACACGGCCCAGACUCCUACGGGGGCAGCAAUUAGGAAUCUUGCGCAAUGGGCGAAAGCCUGACGCAGCGACGCCGCGUGACUGAUGAAGUCUUUUCGAGAUGUAAAGGUCUUUUGUUGGGGACGAAGGAAGUGACGGUACCCGACGAAUAAGCCCCGGCUAACUACGUGCCCAGCCAGCCGCGGUAAGAUAGCGUAC